This is a long non-coding RNA of Astatotilapia calliptera (eastern happy), 1403 nucleotides long. The record is from Ensembl. Lineage: Eukaryota; Metazoa; Chordata; Actinopteri; Cichliformes; Cichlidae.
AAAAGUCGCUGCCAAAAACUGAUUGCGGCUUGUAUCUUGCUACACGAAUGUUGUUUGUGGCUCAAGAUGACUUUAUGUCAUCCAUAAGGGAUGCAUUUGACAUAUGUUUCACAUAUUAUAGCCCAACAAGUUACUUAUAGCACUUUAAAUAUGAGCAAUCGCUUUUUGGCAAAUACCGGAAAUCAGUUUUUGGCAGACAAUCACUUUUUGGCACAACACCGGUACUAGUUUUAUUUUGUUGUAUUUAUCCGCGACACUUUAAAGGCCAGUCCGUGAAAAUAUUGUCGGGCAUAAACGGUUCCGUGGCGCAAAAAAGGUUGGGGACCGCUGCUGUAAAGGACUAUUCAAAGAUUCUGACCAAGUUCAGGUUUGUUGGAGUUCUGUCUCACAUAAUUCUGUUCAUUACAUCCAAAUAUUCCACAGUGCUCGAUUCCUCAGUGUGAACUCUGGCACAACGCAUAUGCGAGUGGACCACAUUGCACGGUCAAAAAGUAAGUGUCCCGCUCCUUUCAAAUCAGAAGUGCUUUCGUCCAACAGUGUGCCAUUUUGCAGAUAUUCCGGCUUACUGCAAAAGGAAGUCAUAAAACACCAGAAAACACACAUUACACAUCCCAGUUUUUGUACAGUAUCCUUAGUAUCAGGGGAGCAGUGGUUACCACCAUUGCCUCACAGCAAGACAGUUCUGGAUUUCGAUCCAGCUGCUGCUCGUUAGCUUUUUUUUUUUUUUUUUUUUAAAUUAUAUUGCUGGUAGUUCUAAAUUGGUAAAUGAGCCUUAGCCCUGUGAUUAGAGCGGUGUACCCCGACUCUUGCCCUGUGCUAGAGAUAUGUUCCAUUCACCGUGCAACCCUGAAUUAGACAAGCUGAACAUAAUGGCUCGAUUGAUAUCCUUCACCUAUUAAAUAAUUCAUCUUCUACAGUGAAGGUGAACCUUCAAAAUAUGUGGUUGGUUUCUAACACAUGAGACAAAAUUCCAUAUUAAAGCUUCAAGGAUAGGCCUUUGUUUUUAGCAUCCAAAUAUUCUUUAGGUCCCUCUAUCAAAAAUGUUUGCAUGAUCAAAGUUCAAAAAACACACCACUGGAACAAGUUCAGUAACAUCCAUUCAUUCUCUGCACUCACCUAAAUCCCUCAUACAGGUUUGAGGUUUCACAGCCUUGUUACGACUUUAAAGCUAAUGUGCAGUUAUAAGAGAUAACUAGCUUACCUGAUUAUUUUGAUUCAACCAUUUUUCGACACAAUGAGUUUUAUAGAAAUUGCACUAAUCACUCUUUCUCUGUUGCUGGCAUUAAACGUCGACUGCUCCAGGUCUUCAUGGUUAUUCAAAGCAGGUGGCUGAGUUGUUUGAAAUACAGAGGCUAAUGGACCAAACCAUUUGUUGUGAUACCUGUGGGGUUCAUGGAUUUUCU